CUCUCUCCUCGCGUGCACUGACAGACCAGGCCCAUGCACCUCGGACGACGCGAAGCCAGGAGGGCCACGCCGUGAUCGACCACGCUCACCGACCAGCCGACCGGCGCUGUGCUGCUCCCCACGUUGCCCAGCUCAACCCACGCCAUUCUGCUCCCCACGCUGCCCAUGCAGCCCCUGCUCGCCUAUAAAAGAAAGGUGGAGAUUGUAAGCACGGGAGGGAGGAGAGAGAAAAAAACCGAAGACCAAGAGAGAGAGAGACUGAAGGAGAGAGAAACAGGGGACCUAAGGCAAUAAACACCUAAAACUCAAGGAAACGAAACUGAGAGAAGGGGGCAGAAGACUGAAGCCGUUGGGAAAGCUUAGUGGAAAGGAAAAACCAAGCACAACCCGAGAGGCACCGGACUGUUGGGAACCGUCGCUUUGAACCACCAACCUCCGCUGCAGCACCACCAACACGGACGCUCGACCAACAGCAUCGCCUCCGCCAGGUAUUCUUCUCCCCCUGCA
This 507-nucleotide long non-coding RNA is filed under the name Populus tremula. RNAcentral describes it as "long non-coding RNA (PTRE_LNC001230)". Lineage: Eukaryota; Viridiplantae; Streptophyta; Magnoliopsida; Malpighiales; Salicaceae. The record is from RNAcentral.